Molecule: ribosomal RNA, 717 nt
Filed under: Triticum aestivum (bread wheat)
Lineage: Eukaryota; Viridiplantae; Streptophyta; Magnoliopsida; Poales; Poaceae
Description: partial small subunit ribosomal RNA
Source: RNAcentral
AUGGACAUGACCGGCUCCGACCAGCAGCGGAGCUCCCCGUCCUCGCCGUCGUCCUCCUCGCACCUGAAGCGUCCUGCCGGGCGUACCAAGUUCAAGGAGACGCGCCACCCGGUGUACCGCGGCGUGCGGCGCCGCGGCAGCGCCGGCCGGUGGGUGUGCGAGGUGCGCGUCCCCGGCAAGCGCGGCGAGCGGCUCUGGCUCGGCACGCACCUCACUGCCGAGGCGGCCGCGCGAGCGCACGACGCCGCCAUGCUCGGCCUGAUCGGCCCCUCCACCCCGUGUCUCAACUUCGUCGACUCCGCUUGGCUCCUCGCCGUGCCGUCCGCGCUCUCCGACUUUGCAGACGUCCGGCGCGCGGCUCUCAGCGCUGUCGCGGACUUCCAACGCCGGGAGGCCACCAGCGGCGCCGCCACCACGUCCCUGGCCGCCACCGUCCCCGUCGAUGACGGAAGCUGUAGCCAAUCCGCGCAGUCGUCCAUGGAAAAUACCGGCUCGUCGUGGACGUCGUCCCUACCUUCUGGCGACGGAAUGUUUGCGGUGCCGGCCACACUGGGCUGCAACAUGUUCGAGCUGGAUAUGUCCGGGGAAAUGGACCUGGACACAUACUAUGCGUACUUCGCGGAGGGGCUUCUCCUCGAGCCGCCGCAACCGCCGGUCGCCGGCGCGUGCUGGGACACCGAAGGCGGCGGAGCAGACGCCGCGCUCUGGAGCUACUAA